RNAcentral lists this long non-coding RNA (598 nucleotides) under Setaria viridis. RNAcentral's name for it is "long non-coding RNA (SVIR_LNC001071)". The record is from RNAcentral. Lineage: Eukaryota; Viridiplantae; Streptophyta; Magnoliopsida; Poales; Poaceae.
CUAGCUCGAAAUUAACCUGUCCGACGAUUUCGCCUUGGACUCCGACACAGUUGCACACGAGUCAUCGAUUGGAUGGGAGAACAACAUUCUUGUCUUGUAAAGUAGAUUAAUCUUGAUGGGGUCAUUCAAACUCACCCGAUGAUCUCGACGAUCACCCCUACAUGGUGUGACAGAUGUCGGUGUUUUAUACCCGGCAACCUACCGAAGGGUAUCCCGAGGUAGUAGAUUGGUUUGUGGGGGAUCGCCGGACCUGGAACUCGAAGGUAAUAGUAAGGACACAAGACACAUAUUUAUACAGGCUCAGGCCGCCAGAGUAGCGUAAUACCCUACGUCCUGUUUGGGGUGUUGUAUAUUGCGCCCUAUGCUUAGGUGUUGUUUGGUGUUGAGGAUUUGGUCCUUUGUUGUGGUUGUAUGAGAUUUUCACCUACCGAUCUAGGGACCCCUGCCCUCCUUUAUAUACUCCAGGGAGCGGGAUCACUAGUCGAUUACAAGGAGUUCUAAUAGAAUUACAUGGUAUGAAUUCUAGUAGGAUUACAGAGGAAUCCUAGUAGGAGUCCAUCUUCUUCUUUCCUUGAUCUAUCCCCAACAGAUCCACCCC